RNAcentral lists this unclassified non-coding RNA (406 nucleotides) under Hevea brasiliensis (rubber tree). Lineage: Eukaryota; Viridiplantae; Streptophyta; Magnoliopsida; Malpighiales; Euphorbiaceae. The record is from RNAcentral.
GCCAAGUCCACCCCCAUCAAUGUAGUAGCACUGUUGCUGGAUGUGGAAGAGGUGAUUAGAGACCACCAGGAAUGAAAGAUGGCUAUGGUAUGUUCUUCACACAAAUUAUCAAACAUCUUCGAAGAUGUAAGACUGAUUCCAUAACAAAUAUUUGCUCAAGUAUGUCCAGAUUCAACGGACCAGACAACUAAUAGAUUUGAAGUUCCUAUGAAUUAAAAAAACUCAAAAGCAAGGAGAUGACGGAUGAAAUUGAUCUCCAAUAGAGCAGUAUCCAUGAAAAUCAAAGAAACUGCUUACUCAAACCUCUUCUCAAGUUAUAUUAUAGUAAUCAUUCUGUUAUAGCAUUAUGUGCUUUGUAGGUAAUGAAUGGAGUAUGUUGUCAAAUUUAGUAUGUUAUCAAAUUUAG